RNAcentral lists this ribosomal RNA (852 nucleotides) under Tyrannosorus hystrioides. Its description in RNAcentral is "LSU rRNA". It matches the Rfam family "Eukaryotic large subunit ribosomal RNA", at positions 77 to 952 of the family's 3401-position model. Lineage: Eukaryota; Fungi; Ascomycota; Dothideomycetes; Venturiales; Venturiaceae. The record is from RNAcentral.
GCCUCAGUAACGGCGAGUGAAGCGGCAACAGCUCAAAUUUGAAAUCUGGCUCACGCCCGAGUUGUAAUUUGUAGAGGAUGUUUCGGGUGAAGCCGCGGUCCAAGUCCCUUGGAACAGGACGUCAUAGAGGGUGAGAACCCCGUACCUGGCCGCCGGUGCCCCCCGCUGUGAAACUCCUUCGACGAGUCGAGUUGUUUGGGAAUGCAGCUCUAAAUUGGUGGUAAAUUCCAUCUAAAGCUAAAUACCGGCCAGAGACCGAUAGCGCACAAGUAGAGUGAUCGAAAGAUGAAAAGCACUUUGAAAAGAGAGUUAAAAAGUACGUGAAAUUGUUGAAAGGGAAGCGCUUGCGGCCAGACUUGCCUGCGGUUGCUCAUCCCGCCUUUUGGCGGGUGCACUCUUCCGCAGUCAGGCCAGCAUCGGUUUGGGCGGUCGGAUAAAGGCGCUGGGAACGUGGCCUCCCCUCGGGGAGGUGUUAUAGCCCGGCGCGCAAUGCGACCAGCCCGGACCGAGGUUCGCGCUUUGCUAGGAUGCUGGCGUAAUGGCCGUAAGCGGCCCGUCUUGAAACACGGACCAAGGAGUCUAACAUCUAUGCGAGUGUUUGGGUGUCAAACCCGUGCGCGUAAUGAAAGUGAACGGAGGUGGGAACCGCAAGGUGCACCAUCGACCGAUCCUGAUGUCUUCGGAAGGAUUUGAGUAAGAGCAUAGCUGUUGGGACCCGAAAGAUGGUGAACUAUGCGUGAAUAGGGUGAAGCCAGAGGAAACUCUGGUGGAGGCUCGCAGCGGUUCUGACGUGCAAAUCGAUCGUCAAAUUUGCGUAUAGGGGCGAAAGACUAAUCGAACCAUUUAGUAGCU